Molecule: ribosomal RNA, 491 nt
Filed under: uncultured bacterium
Lineage: Bacteria
Description: partial 16S ribosomal RNA
Rfam family: Bacterial small subunit ribosomal RNA
Source: RNAcentral
AGUGAACGCUGGCGGUAGGCCUAACACAUGCAAGUCGAACGGCAGCACAGUAAGAGCUUGCUCUUACGGGUGGCGAGUGGCGGACGGGUGAGGAAUACAUCGGAAUCUACUUUCUCGUGGGGGAUAGCGUAGGGAAACUUACGCUAAUACCGCAUACGACCUACGGGUGAAAGCAGGGGAUCUUCGGGCCUUGCGCGAUUGAAUGAGCCGAUGUCGGAUUAGCUAGUUGGCGGGGUAAAGGCCCACCAAGGCGACGAUCCGUAGCUGGUCUGAGAGGAUGAUCAGCCACACUGGAGCUGAGACACGGUCCAGACUCCUACGGGAGGCAGCAGUGGGGAAUAUUGGACAAUGGGCGCAAGCCUGAUCCAGCCAUACCGCGUGGGUGAAGAAGGCCUUCGGGUUGUAAAGCCCUUUUGUUGGGAAAGAAAAGCAGCAGGUUAAGACCCCGCUGUUCUGACGGUACCCAAAGAAUAAGCACCGGCUAACUUCGU